This 508-nucleotide unclassified non-coding RNA is filed under the name Hevea brasiliensis (rubber tree). The record is from RNAcentral. Lineage: Eukaryota; Viridiplantae; Streptophyta; Magnoliopsida; Malpighiales; Euphorbiaceae.
GGUCUCCUUAUAUAGGCAUGAAGAGUCUGGCUUUUACAGGCAACCGGCAAGUGACUGGCUAUCGACACUCUAAAGUAAAAGAUUCUUACAGAGUGGAAAAGAAAUAAAGAUAGUAAAAGCACACUUAUUAUCACACUUAUUACAUAUCAUGGCCGACAGGCUAUAACUUUGAUCAUGGCAUUGUUGACAGAUUGAAUGUGUCAUAAUCAAAGUCAUCUGAGUCAUCAACUCCAAAAAGUCUUUUGACCAUUGGCUGUGCUCAACUGGUGACAGUGGGUCAGCAUUUUCGGUGGCUUCUCGUGCUUCAAUAUCCAUUGGAUCCUAAGAAUCCUGCCAGAUUGAAUGGGACCAAUCUAUGGGAUCAUUGGCAAGAGACUGGAUAGGUCCGAGAGACGUACAAUUCACGUGAGGAAGGGUCAGAGGUUGAUAUCCGUUGAUCUCAUAGAGAUGUUCUGCCAGCUGUCUUCUUAGUGGCCUCAUAGUGUCCUUUUCCGUGAUAGAGCCCUCG